Molecule: ribosomal RNA, 432 nt
Filed under: uncultured bacterium
Lineage: Bacteria
Description: partial 16S ribosomal RNA
Rfam family: Bacterial small subunit ribosomal RNA
Source: RNAcentral
GAUGAACGCUGGCGGUAUGCUUAACACAUGCAAGUCGAACGGUACCUUCGGGUAUAGUGGCGGACGGGUGAGUAACGCGUGAGAAUCUAUCUUCAGGUCGGGGACAACAGUUAGAAAUGACUGCUAAUACCGGAUGUGCCGAAAGGUAAAAGAUUUAUUGCCUGAAAAAGAGCUCGCGUCAGAUUAGCUAGUAGGUGGUGUAAGAGACUACCUAGGCUUCGAUCUGUAGCUGGUCUGAGAGGACGAUCAGCCACACUGGAACUGAGACACGGUCCAGACUCCUACGGGAGACAGCAGUGGGGAAUUUUCCGCAAUGGGCGAAAGCCUGACGGAGCAAUGCCGCGUGAGGGACGAAGGCUCUUGGGUCGUAAACCUCUUUUCUCAAGGAAGAUUCAGACGGUACUUGAGGAAUAAGCAUCGGCUAACUCUGUG